GGAUCUCUUGGUUCUCGCAUCGAUGAAGAACGCAGCGAAAUGCGAUAAGUAAUGUGAAUUGCAGAAUUCAGUGAAUCAUCGAAUCUUUGAACGCACAUUGCGCCCUUUGGUAUUCCAUAGGGCAUGCCUGUUCGAGCGUCACUAACAAUCCCAUCAUACAAGAGUGUGGUAUUGGCAGAAGUGGGUAGGGCUAGCAGUGCUGGUCCCACUCUGCUUGAAUGAAUAGGCCGGAAAUGCAGACCAUGGCAACAAACUUUCAAAGUAUUUUGAAAUGCUAAAUUAGUUUGGAGCUGGUCAGAAUCCAGGCCAUUGGACCCCCAUUCUGUGUAAAGCAGUAAUGUUGACCUCGGAUCAGGUAGGGAUACCCGCUGAACUUAAGCAUAUCAAUAAGCGGAGGAAAAGAAACCAACAGGGAUUGCCUUAGUAACGGCGAGUGAAGCGGCAAAAGCUCAAAUUUGAAAUCUGACACCUCCGGUGUUCGAGUUGUAAUUUGGAGAGGCAUCUUCUGGAGGGGCCCAGCCUAUGUGCCUUGGAACAGGACGUCAUAGA
RNAcentral lists this ribosomal RNA (549 nucleotides) under Tuber sp. SOC1602. RNAcentral's name for it is "eukaryotic LSU rRNA". The stretch from base 342 to 549 matches the Rfam family "Eukaryotic large subunit ribosomal RNA", at positions 1 to 209 of the family's 3401-position model. The record is from RNAcentral. Lineage: Eukaryota; Fungi; Ascomycota; Pezizomycetes; Pezizales; Tuberaceae.